Molecule: long non-coding RNA, 1112 nt
Organism: Gasterosteus aculeatus aculeatus (three-spined stickleback)
Lineage: Eukaryota; Metazoa; Chordata; Actinopteri; Perciformes; Gasterosteidae
Source: Ensembl
CUUCAUAUUUCCGUAGAAGGUGGUGCAACCGGAAGUCACAAUAAAAGCCACCUGAAUUCACAAAAUCCUUUGCAGUGCGCGCGGCUGACCAGCUGAUCGAAGUCAGAGCCACCGGAAGUGAAGUUGUUUGACUUUCAAAAUAAUGGAGCACGGUUUGCGUCUACAUGAGACUCCUUGAAGUUGAAGUACUACUGUACUAGUACCAGAUAUGUCAGAUACAUACAUCGGAGUACAUGCAAUACUGCGUGUACUCCUUCUCCAGGUCUGAUUGACCACAAACAGACGCCGAAGCUGCUGAUACCAAUGACGUCAUAGAUUGAGGACGGCUCGGAGGGAUCAGUAACGUUUUUAUUGGUGUCAUGGCGCCGUCACCAUGGUAACCUCGCAUGGAGCGCUGUAUUGUGGGAACUGAUCUCCUCUCAAACAACAGAAACCUUUGACGUCGUCCUUCAGUAAAAUGUUAAAUCUGGUGUUAAAACUAUAAGAUGUCAAAGCUCACGCUGUUUCACUUGACUUCUUCCCUCCUUCCUAAAGAUGUUAAAAGUCUUAUAAAACUCUGAUCUAAUUAAUGUGAAACCAGAAAAACACAAAUCAGCAGCAAUAAUCAUCAAAUAUUAAACUAUACGUGAAAACAAAUGAGGACUAAAUGUUCCGUGUUAGUAGCUGAUCAUCACGCUGUAACGAUUAAGAGAAGACAAACGCUUCACUAGAAGAUGAAGAAGAACUUGUUUCAGAUCCACUGGAUUCAUAAGCAUCUUAUCGAUGUCACACGGCCCCCCACUGACAUCCCACCGACGUCACUCCCUUCACACUGCUCACACACACCGGCCUCCUUCACACACAGCACGUUGUCUCCUCGGUCUUGUUGUCCAUGUCGCACCGACAAGUCAAAUUCCUUGAAUGUCUCCGAUAUUCUGGUAACAAUUCCUGAUUCCUGAGGGGACUCCAGGUGGUAGACACGUCCCAGAUGUUCCUCUGAGAGCCUGACGGGGAACGUGUUCUCGGCGGACUGGCCCUGCGGGUCCCGAGUGGCGCCCCCCCCCCCCCCUCAGGCUCGGGGCAGGAAGCGGAGGUUGAUGGGCUUUGCCGGGAUGAGCAGGGUCCGAGUCUUG